UAAUACGUAGGGUGCGAGCGUUAAUCGGAAUUACUGGGCGUAAAGCGUGCGCAGGUGGUUGUGUAAGUCAGAUGUGAAAUCCCCGGGCUCAACCUGGGAACUGCAUUUGAGACUGCACGGCUAGAGGAUGGCAGAGGGGGGUAGAAUUCCACGUGUAGCAGUGAAAUGCGUAGAGAUGUGGAGGAAUACCGAUGGCGAAGGCAGCCCCCUGGGCUAUUUCUGACACUCAUGCACGAAAGCGUGGGGAGCAAACAGG
Molecule: ribosomal RNA, 256 nt
Filed under: uncultured bacterium
Lineage: Bacteria
Description: partial 16S ribosomal RNA
Rfam family: Bacterial small subunit ribosomal RNA
Source: RNAcentral